Molecule: ribosomal RNA, 468 nt
Filed under: uncultured bacterium
Lineage: Bacteria
Description: partial 16S ribosomal RNA
Rfam family: Bacterial small subunit ribosomal RNA
Source: RNAcentral
GACGAACGCUGGCGGCGUGCUUAACACAUGCAAGUCGAACGGAAAGGCCCUGCUUUUGUGGGGUGCUCGAGUGGCGAACGGGUGAGUAACACGUGAGUAACCUGCCCUUGACUUUGGGAUAACUUCAGGAAACUGGGGCUAAUACCGGAUAGGAUCUCCUGCUGCAUGGUGGGGGUUGGAAAGUUUCGGCGGUUGGGGAUGGACUCGCGGCUUAUCAGCUUGUUGGUGGGGUAGUGGCUUACCAAGGCUUUGACGGGUAGCCGGCCUGAGAGGGUGACCGGGCACAUUGGGACUGAGAUACGGCCCAGACUCCUACGGGAGGCAGCAGUGGGGAAUAUUGCACAAUGGGCGGAAGCCUGAUGCAGCAACGCCGCGUGCGGGAUGACGGCCUUCGGGUUGUAAACCGCUUUCGCCUGUGACGAAGCGUGAGUGACGGUAAUGGGUAAAGAAGCACCGGCUAACUACGUG